UGGAGGUAGUGACAAUAAAUCACAAUGCGGAACAAUGUUUUGCAAUUGGAUUGAGAACAACGUACAAACCUUAUCGAUAAACAAUUGGAGGGCAAGUCUGGUGCCAGCAGCCGCGGUAAUUCCAGCUCCAAUAGCGUAUAUUAACGUUGUUGCAGUUAAAAAGCUCGUAGUUGAAAUGAAGGGUAGUUGUGUAAUGAAUACAUUCGUGUAUUUUGUUAUUCAACUACCCUCCUUCUAAAUUCGAUAUAUGAGUAUUAAUUUACUUGUAUAUGGUUUUAGACGUUUACUGUGAGAAAAUUAGAGUGUUCAAAGCAGGCAUUUGCUUGAAUAUAUUAGCAUGGAAUAAUCAUGUAUGAUUUUCAUGAUGUAUUUGAUUGGUUUGGUUCAUGAGAAUAAGAUUAAAAGGGACAGUUGGGGGUAUUCAUAUUCAAUAGUCAGU
Molecule: ribosomal RNA, 439 nt
Filed under: Blastocystis sp. subtype 3
Lineage: Eukaryota; Bigyra; Opalinata; Blastocystidae
Description: bacterial SSU rRNA
Rfam family: Eukaryotic small subunit ribosomal RNA
Source: RNAcentral